GACUCAUAUGAUAGCUCAGUUGGUUAGAGCGUGGUGCUGAUAACCCCAAGGUUACAGGUUUGAUCCCUGUAUGGGGCA
Molecule: transfer RNA, 78 nt
Filed under: Podarcis lilfordi (Lilford's wall lizard)
Lineage: Eukaryota; Metazoa; Chordata; Lepidosauria; Squamata; Lacertidae
Description: tRNA.Ile
Rfam family: tRNA (bases 12-70)
About the family: Transfer RNA (tRNA) molecules are approximately 80 nucleotides in length. Their secondary structure includes four short double-helical elements and three loops (D, anti-codon, and T loops).
Source: RNAcentral